This 654-nucleotide ribosomal RNA is filed under the name Bacillus sp. HPC 903. Its description in RNAcentral is "bacterial SSU rRNA". It matches the Rfam family "Bacterial small subunit ribosomal RNA", at positions 52 to 675 of the family's 1533-position model. The record is from RNAcentral. Lineage: Bacteria; Bacillati; Bacillota; Bacilli; Caryophanales; Bacillaceae.
UACAGGUAACCGUAGGGCGGAUCCCGUACCCGGAGGGUUGGAGCUUGGUCCUUGUACGUUGGGGGGGGACGGGUGAGUAUGCUUGGGCACCCUACCCUAUGGUUUGGGAUAACUCCGGGAAACCGGGGCUAAUACCGAAUAAUCUCUUUUACUUCAUGGUGAAAAACUGAAAGACGGUUUCGGCUGUCGCUAUAGGAUGGGCCCGCGGCGCAUUAGCUAGUUGGUGAGGUAACGGCUCACCAAGGCGACGAUGCGUAGCCGACCUGAGAGGGUGAUCGGCCACACUGGGACUGAGACACGGCCCAGACUCCUACGGGAGGCAGCAGUAGGGAAUCUUCCACAAUGGGCGAAAGCCUGAUGGAGCAACGCCGCGUGAGUGAAGAAGGUUUUCGGAUCGUAAAACUCUGUUGUAAGGGAAGAACAAGUACAGUAGUAACUGGCUGUACCUUGACGGUACCUUAUUAGAAAGCCACGGCUAACUACGUGCCAGCAGCCGCGGUAAUACGUAGGUGGCAAGCGUUGUCCGGAAUUAUUGGGCGUAAAGCGCGCGCAGGCGGUCCUUUAAGUCUGAUGUGAAAGCCCACGGCUCAACCGUGGAGGGUCAUUGGAAACUGGGGGACUUGAGUGCAGAAGAGGAAAGUGGAAUUCCAAGUG